UGGGGAAUUUUGGACAAUGGGCGAAAGCCUGAUCCAGCAAUGCCGCGUGUGUGAAGAAGGCCUUCGGGUUGUAAAGCACUUUUGUCCGGAAAGAAAUCCUUGGCUCUAAUACAGUCGGGGGAUGACGGUACCGGAAGAAUAAGCACCGGCUAACUACGUGCCAGCAGCCGCGGUAAUACGUAGGGUGCAAGCGUUAAUCGGAAUUACUGGGCGUAAAGCGUGCGCAGGCGGUUUGCUAAGACCGAUGUGAAAUCCCCGGGCUCAACCUGGGAACUGCAUUGGUGACUGGCAGGCUAGAGUAUGGCAGAGGGGGGUAGAAUUCCACGUGUAGCAGUGAAAUGCGUAGAGAUGUGGAGGAAUACCGAUGGCGAAGGCAGCCCCCUGGGCCAAUACUGACGCUCAUGCACGAAAGCGUGGGGGAGCAAAACAGGAUUAGAUACCCUGGUAGUCCACGCCCUAAAACGAUGUCAACUAGUUGUUGGGGAUUCAUUUCCUUAGUAACGUAGCUAACGCGUGAAGUUGACCGCCUGGGGAGUACGGUCGAAGAUUAAAACUCAAAUGAAUUGACGGGGUCAUAGCUGUUUCCU
This 587-nucleotide ribosomal RNA is filed under the name uncultured bacterium. Its description in RNAcentral is "partial 16S ribosomal RNA". It matches the Rfam family "Bacterial small subunit ribosomal RNA", at positions 355 to 1375 of the family's 1533-position model. The record is from RNAcentral.